This 437-nucleotide ribosomal RNA is filed under the name uncultured Nakamurella sp. RNAcentral's name for it is "partial 16S ribosomal RNA". It matches the Rfam family "Bacterial small subunit ribosomal RNA", at positions 341 to 792 of the family's 1533-position model. The record is from RNAcentral. Lineage: Bacteria; Bacillati; Actinomycetota; Actinomycetes; Nakamurellales; Nakamurellaceae. RNAcentral also lists the same sequence under 1 other name.
ACGGGAGGCAGCAGUGGGGAAUAUUGGGCAAUGGGCGAAAGCCUGACCCAGCGACGCCGCGUGAGGGAAGAAGGUCUUCGGAUUGUAAACCUCUUUCAGCAGGGAAGAAGCAAGUGACGGUACCUGCAGAAGAAGUCACGGCUAACUACGUGCCAGCAGCCGCGGUAAUACGUAGGUGGCGAGCGUUAUCCGGAAUUACUGGGUGUAAAGGGUGUGUAGGCGGAGAAGCAAGUCAGGCGUGAAAUUUAUGGGCUCAACCCAUAAACUGCGCUUGAAACUGUUUCCCUUGAGAGUGGGAGAGGUAAACGGAAUUCCUGGUGUAGUAGUGAAAUGCGUAGAUAUCAGGAGGAACACCGGUGGCGAAGGCGGUUUACUGGACCACAACUGACGCUGAGACACGAAAGCGUGGGGAGCAAACAGGAUUAGAUACCCUGGUA